This 305-nucleotide ribosomal RNA is filed under the name uncultured bacterium. RNAcentral describes it as "bacterial SSU rRNA". It matches the Rfam family "Bacterial small subunit ribosomal RNA", at positions 335 to 638 of the family's 1533-position model. The record is from RNAcentral.
GUACCUACGGGAGGCAGCAGUGAGGAAUAUUGGUCAAUGGGCGCAGGCCUGAACCAGCCAAGUCGCGUGAGGGAAGACUGCCCUAUGGGUUGUAAACCUCUUUUAUAAGGGAAGAAUAAUGACUACGUGUAGUCAGAUGCCCGUACCUUAUGAAUAAGCAUCGGCUAACUCCGUGCCAGCAGCCGCGGUAAUACGGAGGAUGCGAGCGUUAUCCGGAUUUAUUGGGUUUAAAGGGUGCGUAGGCGGUCCGGAAAGUCAGCGGUAAAAGCCCGGGGCUCAACCCCGGCGAGCCGUUGAAACUGUCG